CCUACGGGUGGCUGCAGUGAGGAAUAUUGGUCAAUGGGCGAGAGCCUGAACCAGCCAAGUCGCGUGAGGGAGUACUGCCCUAUGGGUUGUAAACCUCUUUUGUCGGGGAGCAAAAGCCGGACGUGUACGGCUGUGAGAGUGCCCGAAGAAAAAGCAUCGGCUAACUCCGUGCCAGCAGCCGCGGUAAUACGGAGGAUGCGAGCGGUUUCCGAAUUUAUUGGGUUUAAGGGGUGUGCAGGGGGAUUUUUUAGUCGGCGGUCAAAUCGUGGGGCUCAACCCCAUCCAGCCGUUGAAACUGGGGAUCUAGAGUGUGCGAGAGGUAUGCGGAAUGCGUGGUGUAGCGGUGAAAUGCAUAGAUAUCACGCAGAACCCCGAUUGCGAAGGCAGCAUACCGGU
RNAcentral lists this ribosomal RNA (396 nucleotides) under uncultured bacterium. RNAcentral describes it as "partial 16S ribosomal RNA". It matches the Rfam family "Bacterial small subunit ribosomal RNA", at positions 338 to 733 of the family's 1533-position model. The record is from RNAcentral.